CUGACUUUGAUGAAUCUAAGUCCCCCAGCACAGAACAGCUGGAUACGCUGAGAGAGUUUGCUGGAAUCGCUGCCGGAGCCUCAGCUCCCGAGAGCCUUGCUACUCUUGCCUUUCUUUAUAUGUGCCUGGCAAUUUCAGCUAAGUAUGGAGAUGUUCCGAGUGUGGACGUACUGGUGUGGUCUGAGCUGCCCACGGGAGCCGGGUUGGGUUCAAGUGCCGCCUAUGCCGUUUGCUUGGCGGCGGCCCUGCUGUCGGCGUGCGGAGCCGUCUCGUGCCCGCUGAAGGAGGGAGACUCCACAGCCAGCUGGCGUGCAGAGGGGUAAGUGAGAGAUGGGGGUGUCAGACUUCAGAAGGUUUUUGCUUAACGUCGCAAGAAAAGAACAGCGUGAUAUAAUGGCUCCUGUGUAGAGAAGAAUCGCAGCCUCUCAAAGAGGAUUAAAAACCAGUGGUUUACAGCAAACUGCGCUUCUAUUUUGAGUAGCGGUGGUGUGAGCUGUUUUCCUGAAUGCUUCACAGAUUAAAUAUUGGC
Molecule: long non-coding RNA, 529 nt
Organism: Eurypyga helias (sunbittern)
Lineage: Eukaryota; Metazoa; Chordata; Aves; Eurypygiformes; Eurypygidae
Exons: 3
Source: RefSeq, a predicted model, not a curated record